UUUUCGCAUAUUCUAUGUUGUAGGAAUGGAGAGAUCAGUUUGGUUGUGGUGAGGACAUGGAAUGUUGGAGUGUGCAGCUUGGCAUACUGAUUCACUCCUGUCAUGGACCACAGCUUUCAAGUAUGGCUCUUGACAGGGAUGAACUGGAUGAACUCUUCCAGAUAGCUGGGGCUGGAGAUACAUGACAACAUUUCUCAGUGCCAUGCAUCGAUGCUGAUAUGAGCUGGAGGACAUCCUCAUGUGACAUGAGUCAUCGACCAGAGCCUUCAAGUGUGGCUGUUGACAGCUGUGGACAAAACGGACUUCGCAGCCAUAGAACAACAUGAGUCACUUCUCUUCUGCUUCUGCUACAACGUCAUCUUCUUCUUCUGCUACUACUGAUACUGUUGCUGCAGCCUAUUCUUCUUUGCUGAGAAAUCAACACUUUUGGGCCUUAGUAGCUGAUUGCUGAUCAUUGCUGUAAUAAGGUGUUACAUCUGUGAGUUCUCUUAGAUUAUGAUGAUCAUCUUUUUCU
This is a long non-coding RNA of Nilaparvata lugens (brown planthopper), 514 nucleotides long. RefSeq lists it as uncharacterized. The record is from RefSeq and is a predicted model, not a curated record. NCBI's taxonomy places the organism in Eukaryota, Metazoa, Arthropoda, Insecta, Hemiptera, Delphacidae. The transcript has 3 exons.